This 193-nucleotide microRNA precursor is filed under the name Oryza brachyantha (malo sina). RNAcentral describes it as "MIR812 microRNA precursor family". It matches the Rfam family "MIR812 microRNA precursor family". The record is from Rfam by way of RNAcentral. Lineage: Eukaryota; Viridiplantae; Streptophyta; Magnoliopsida; Poales; Poaceae.
AAUAAGUUCAGUUAGAUGCCAUCUUCGACUCUUCGUCUUAUUUGAAUUCUUUUGCGAUUAAUAUUUUAUUUUUAUUAGAUGAUAAAACAUGAAUAUUAUUUUAUGCAUGACUAUUUUUUAAGUUUUUUAAUAAUUUUUUAAAAUAAGACAAAUGGUCAAAUGCUGGACACAAAAACUAAUAAAUGAAGUUUUU